GAUUCAAAACAAAUAUCUCCAAUCGAUAUUUCCAUCUAUUUCGAUCUUUUCGUCUUCUCCCAAUCUGAAAAAUGAAACCUAUGUUCUCUUAUUCAUUGGCUGCUUUAAAUUAGAUCACAUACUUAACCCUUUCUUUCUUGCCUUUUCAGUUAUUCUUCUCCAUUUCUUCUUUCUCCUCUUCUUCAAAUCCACAAACGUUGUUACAACAGAGCAUUGAUUCUCAGAUUACCCAGAUAGGAUUGAAUCAGCUUUAUGAUGUCGUCAACGUUUAUAAUCGAUCCAAGCAACGCACCGAUACAAUCAUGUUUGGCAGACGCUCAAGAUUUUGGGUCGAGUCCACACGCCGUCUCGGAUCCAUUUGGGGAUGCUUUCUAAUGCCAUGAGAUGUCGAAGAAACUAACGACAGAUUCUUCAGUUAGAGGAUUCAGGCAGGUGAAGCAGCGAUGGAUCAGGGAGGAUGAGAUGGUUGUGCCUCCAAGGAAGGAGCCUGAGAUAGAGAAGAAACAAAAACUGGAUCAUGAACCUCAGUCGAAGUUGGGAGAAGAAAAGGAGAGUAAGGAGAGGAAGCAGAAAGCUUUAAAGGAGAUAGAGAUGGGUAUGCGGCUACAAGGCCCUUUGAAACAAUUAUCAAGAAUUACUCACAACCAUAGAAAUUGAUGAUGAAGAUAUCUCUUUAUCACAAACGUGCUGCUGCUCAUUGGAGAUGACAAAGGACACAAAGGUGGAUAUCAGAAGCUUGGUAAGGAAAACACACAAAUGAGAGUUCCAAGUGGAAAUGGAGCCGAUAGUGGCUCAGUGGAGAUCUCUGUUGGAUCAAGUUCGCUUAACUGGUCUCGACCAAAGAACAUUAAGAAGAAAACACUUGGGAGUCAAAAAUGAGUUGAGCAACUAUAGUGGUGGCUCUGCACUAAUUAACGGUGCCAGAGUAGAUGGUGAGAUGCAUGCUGCCACUGGGUCUCUUCCUCCAAUUGAGUGUUUUUUAUGUGAUCUCUGUCAUCGGCAUUCUGAAAAGUGGUCAAAAGACUACUACAAAAGAGUGAUCUAUGUUGCUUGAGAUCAAGGGUAAAGUCAGAUUAGAUGCAUUUGAGAAAUUUGUUCGAGAGCUCCCGAAUUCCAGGAGUCGUGCUGUAUGUUUUUCGGCUUGGAAUUUUACAUUAAUUGCUUGAAAGCUGUCUACUUGGCUAAAAUAAUAGGACUUACUUGUCCUACUUGAUAAACCCUUUCCCAGUAGCUGACUUGUGUCCUUAUAUAUAAAUCUUACUUUUAUAUUACAGGUUAUGUGUUUUGUCUGCAAA
Molecule: long non-coding RNA, 1295 nt
Organism: Brassica napus (rape)
Lineage: Eukaryota; Viridiplantae; Streptophyta; Magnoliopsida; Brassicales; Brassicaceae
Exons: 4
Source: RefSeq, a predicted model, not a curated record